This 27-nucleotide transfer RNA is filed under the name Scomberomorus niphonius (Japanese Spanish mackerel). Its description in RNAcentral is "partial tRNA-Pro". Lineage: Eukaryota; Metazoa; Chordata; Actinopteri; Scombriformes; Scombridae. The record is from RNAcentral.
CCACGAGUAGUUUAAUUUAGAAUCCUA